RNAcentral lists this ribosomal RNA (660 nucleotides) under uncultured Cortinarius. Its description in RNAcentral is "eukaryotic LSU rRNA". The stretch from base 184 to 337 matches the Rfam family "5.8S ribosomal RNA". The record is from RNAcentral. Lineage: Eukaryota; Fungi; Basidiomycota; Agaricomycetes; Agaricales; Cortinariaceae.
AACCUGCGGAAGGAUCAUUAUUGAAAUAAACCUGAUGGGUUGUUGCUGGUUCUCUAGGGAGCAUGUGCACACCUUGUCAUCUUUAUAUCUCCACCUGUGCACUUUUUGUAGACCUUUCAGGUCUAUGUUGCUUCAUUUACCCCAAUGUAUGUUAAUAGAAUGUUGUGCCUAUAUAAUAUAUACAACUUUCAGCAACGGAUCUCUUGGCUCUCGCAUCGAUGAAGAACGCAGCGAAAUGCGAUAAGUAAUGUGAAUUGCAGAAUUCAGUGAAUCAUCGAAUCUUUGAACGCACCUUGCGCUCCUUGGUAUUCCGAGGAGCAUGCCUGUUUGAGUGUCAUUAAUAUAUCAACCUUCUCUUGUUUGAGUUGUUUGGAUGUGGGGGUUUGCUGGACUCUUAAAUGAAUUCAGCUCCCCUGAAAUGCAUUAGCAGAACAAACCUGUUCAUUGGCGUGAUAAUUAUCUAUGCUAUUGAAUGUGAGGGCAGUUCAGCUUUCUAAUCGUCCUUGGACAAUUUAUCAUUAAUGUGACCUCAAAUCAGGUAGGACUACCCGCUGAACUUAAGCAUAUCAAUAAGCGGAGGAAAAGAAACUAACAAGGAUUCCCCUAGUAACUGCGAGUGAAGCGGGAAAAGCUCAAAUUUAAAAUCUGGCGGCCUUUUUG